RNAcentral lists this ribosomal RNA (497 nucleotides) under uncultured bacterium. RNAcentral's name for it is "partial 16S ribosomal RNA". It matches the Rfam family "Bacterial small subunit ribosomal RNA", at positions 28 to 507 of the family's 1533-position model. The record is from RNAcentral.
GAUGAACGCUGGCGGCGUGCCUAAUACAUGCAAGUCGAGCGAACAGACGAGGAGCUUGCUCCUCUGACGUUAGCGGCGGACGGGUGAGUAACACGUGGAUAACCUACCUAUAAGACUGGGAUAACUUCGGGAAACCGGAGCUAAUACCGGAUAAUAUAUUGAACCGCAUGGUUCAAUAGUGAAAGACGGUUUUGCUGUCACUUAUAGAUGGAUCCGCGCCGCAUUAGCUAGUUGGUAAGGUAACGACUUACCAAGGCAACGAUGCGUAGCCGACCUGAGAGGGUGAUCGGCCACACUGGAACUGAGACACGGUCCAGACUCCCACGGGAGGCAGCAGUAGGGAAUCUUCCGCAAAGGGCGAAAGCUUGACGGAGCAACGCCGCGUGAGUGAUGAAGGUCUUCGGAUCGUAAAACUCUGUUAUUAGGGAAGAACAAAUGUGUAAGUAACUAUGCACGUCUUGACGGUACCUAAUCAGAAAGCCACGGCUAACUACGUG